GUCACUCCAUUGCUGGGGGGACAGGCUCUGGCUUGGGCUCCUACCUCUUGGAACGGCUAAAUGACAGGUACCCCAAAAAACUAGUGCAGACGUACUCCGUGUUCCCCAACCAGGACGAGAUGAGUGACGUGGUGGUCCAGCCCUACAACUCCCUCCUCACGUUAAAGAGGCUGACCCAGAACGCGGACUGUGUGGUGAGGCCUGGAUUCUUGUUCCGGCUCCCAUCCCCCUGUCUGCUCAUCUUCGUUUUGAGCUCUCUUGUGCCAUAAGCCUGAGAAGGUCCCUUUGGAGUGAGUGUUUCCGACCAUAAGGCUCAAGGCUAGACUCAGGCCAAGCUUGCGGUGUUCUUGCCCUUAUAAAUCUUCAACCCUUUGCUAUCUCUUCUAGGUGGUGCUGGACAACACGGCCCUGAACCUGAUCGCCACAGACCGCCUGCACAUCCAGAACCCAUCCUUCUCCCAGAUCAACCAGCUGGUGAGCCCCCACUCCUGGAAUGAGAGCCCUCUGUCUGCGAGAGAGUCAUCAGAGGAGGGACGCUCCACCUCCAUCAAGCCCCAUGACACAGUAUCUCCUGCUCCCAGGUGUCCACCAUCAUGUCAGCCAGCACCACCACCCUGCGCUACCCCGGAUACAUGAACAACGACCUCAUCGGCCUCAUCGCCUCACUCAUUCCCACCCCUCGACUACACUUCCUCAUGACUGGCUAUACCCCCCUCACCACGGACCAGUCAGUAAGAGCUCCCCCAGUGUCCCAGCACUGAGGCCUUUCCCUUUUCCAUACUC
This 783-nucleotide long non-coding RNA is filed under the name Rattus norvegicus (Norway rat). Its description in RNAcentral is "long non-coding RNA NONRATT004894". Lineage: Eukaryota; Metazoa; Chordata; Mammalia; Rodentia; Muridae. The record is from RNAcentral.